AGAGUUUGAUCAUGGCUCAGGAUGAACGCUAGCGGCAGGCUUAAUACAUGCAAGUCGAACGGGAUUCGGAGUAGCAAUACUUUGAUGAGAGUGGCGCACGGGUGCGUAACGCGUAUGCAACCUACCUUUAACUGGGGGAUAGCCCCGAGAAAUCGGGAUUAAUACCCCAUAACAUUACGAAUUGGCAUCAAUUUGUGAUUAAAGCUCCGGCGGUUAGAGAUGGGCAUGCGUGACAUUAGCUGGUUGGUGAGGUAACGGCUCACCAAGGCAACGAUGUCUAGGGGUCCUGAGAGGGUUAUCCCCCACACUGGUACUGAGACACGGACCAGACUCCUACGGGAGGCAGCAGUAAGGAAUAUUGGUCAAUGGGCGCAAGCCUGAACCAGCCAUGCCGCGUGCAGGAAGACGGCCCUAUGGGUUGUAAACUGCUUUUAUCAGGGAAUAAACCCUCGCUCGAGAGCGGGGCUGAAGGUACCUGAGGAAUAAGCAUCGGCUAACUCCGUGCCAGCAGCCGCGGUAAUACGGAGGAUGCAAGCGUUAUCCGGAUUCAUUGGGUUUAAAGGGUGCGCAGGCGGAUUGGUAAGUCAGGGGUGAAAUCCCACAGCUCAACUGUGGAACUGCCUUUGAUACUGUCAGUCUAGAGUAUAGUUGAAGUUGGCGGAAUGUGUCAUGUAGCGGUGAAAUGCUUAGAUAUGACACAGAACACCGAUCGCGAAGGCAGCUAGCUAAGCUAUAACUGACGCUCAUGCACGAAAGCGUGGGGAUCAAACAGGAUUAGAUACCCUGGUAGUCCACGCUGUAAACGAUGAUUACUCGAUGUUGGCGAUACACAGUCAGCGUCUGAGCGAAAGCAAUAAGUAAUCCACCUGGGGAGUACGAUCGCAAGAUUGAAACUCAAAGGAAUUGACGG
Molecule: ribosomal RNA, 910 nt
Filed under: uncultured bacterium
Lineage: Bacteria
Description: bacterial SSU rRNA
Rfam family: Bacterial small subunit ribosomal RNA
Source: RNAcentral